CCUACGUGAGUCAGCAGUGGGGACUAUUGCACAAUGGGGGAAACCCUGAUGCAGCGACGCCGCGUGAGUGAAGAAGGAUUUCGGUAUGUAAAGCUCUAUCAGCAGGGAAGAAAAUGACGGUACCUGACUAAGAAGCACCGGCUAACUACGUGCCAGCAGCCGCGGUAAUACGUAGGGUGCAAGCGUUAUCCGGAUUCACUGGGUGUAAAGGGAGCGUAGACGGGGCGGGAAGGCUGAAGUGAAAGGCAGGGGCUUAACCCCUGAACUGCUUUGUAAACUGCCAUUCUAGAGUGCUGGAGAGGUAAGUGGAAUUCGUAGUGUAGGGGUAAAAUGCGUAGAUAUUAAGAGGAACACCAGUGGCGAAGGCGGCUUACUGGACAGUAACUGACGUUGAGGCUCGAAAGCGUGGGGAGCAAACAGGAUUAGAUACCCUAGUAGUC
Molecule: ribosomal RNA, 440 nt
Filed under: uncultured bacterium
Lineage: Bacteria
Description: partial 16S ribosomal RNA
Rfam family: Bacterial small subunit ribosomal RNA
Source: RNAcentral